UAGGGGAGACGGGGCUCAGACCCCCUCCCUGAGUCUAGGGUAACCCUAAAAGUGGAGGGGAA
Oryctolagus cuniculus (rabbit) is the source of this 62-nucleotide regulatory RNA element. It matches the Rfam family "Gag/pol translational readthrough site". Lineage: Eukaryota; Metazoa; Chordata; Mammalia; Lagomorpha; Leporidae. The record is from Rfam.